RNAcentral lists this ribosomal RNA (440 nucleotides) under uncultured bacterium. RNAcentral describes it as "partial 16S ribosomal RNA". It matches the Rfam family "Bacterial small subunit ribosomal RNA", at positions 338 to 795 of the family's 1533-position model. The record is from RNAcentral.
CCUACGGGAGGCAGCAGUGGGGAAUAUUGCACAAUGGGGGAAACCCUGAUGCAGCGACGCCGCGUGAGUGAAGAAGUAUUUCGUUAUGUAAAGCUCUAUCAGCAGGGAAGAAAAUGACGGUACCUGAGUAAUAAGCCCCGGCUAACUACGUGCCAGCAGCCGCGGUAAUACGUAGGGGGCAAGCGUUAUCCGGAUGUACUGGGUGUAAAGGGAGCGUAGACGGUUGGUCAAGUCUGGCGUGAAAUGCCGGAGCUUAACUGCGGAACUGCUUUGGAAACUGGCGAACUAGAGUGCGGUAGGGGUAAGCGGAAUGCCUAGUGUAGCGGUGAAAUGCGUAGAUAUUAGGAGGAACACCGGUGGCGAAGGCGGCUUACUGGACCGUAACUGACGUUGAGGCGCGAAAGCGUGGGGAGCAAACAGGAUUAGAUACCCGUGUAGUC